UGGGGAAUAUUGCACAAUGGGCGCAAGCCUGAUGCAGCAACGCCGCGUGAGGGAUGACGGCCUUCGGGUUGUAAACCUCUUUUAGCAGGGAAGAAGCGAAAGUGACGGUACCUGCAGAAAAAGCACCGGCUAACUACGUGCCAGCAGCCGCGGUAAUACGUAGGGUGCAAGCGUUGUCCGGAAUUAUUGGGCGUAAAGAGCUCGUAGGCGGUCUGUCGCGUCUGCUGUGAAAUCCUGAGGCUCAACCUCGGGCCUGCAGUGGGUACGGGCAGACUAGAGUGCGGUAGGGGAGAAUGGAACUCCUGGUGUAGCGGUGGAAUGCGCAGAUAUCAGGAAGAACACCGAUGGCGAAGGCAGUUCUCUGGGCCGUAACUGACGCUGAGGAGCGAAAGCGUGGGGAGCGAACAGGAUUAGAUGCCCUGGUAGUCCACGCCGUAAACGUUGGGCGCUAGAUGUGGGGACCAUUCCACGGUUUCCGUGUCGCAGCUAACGCAUUAAGCGCCCCGCCUGGGGAGUACGGCCGCAAGGCUAAAACUCAAAGGAAUUGACGGGGUCAUAGCU
This 561-nucleotide ribosomal RNA is filed under the name uncultured bacterium. RNAcentral's name for it is "partial 16S ribosomal RNA". It matches the Rfam family "Bacterial small subunit ribosomal RNA", at positions 355 to 926 of the family's 1533-position model. The record is from RNAcentral.